AGUGAACGCUGGCGGCGUGCUUAACACAUGCAAGUCGAACGAGAACGGAAUAUAGUUUGCUAUAUUUGUCAGCUAAGUGGCGCACGGGUGAGUAAUAUAUAGAUAACCUGCCCUUAAGAAAGGAAUAACAGUUGGAAACGACUGCUAAUGCCCUAUAUGCCUUUAAUACAUAAGUAUGCAAGGGAAACGCUUUAGUGCUUAAGGAUGGGUCUGUAUGGUAUCAGCUUGUUGGUGAGGUAAUGGCUCACCAAGGCUAUGACGCCUAACUGGUUUGAGAGGAUGAUCAGUCACACUGGAACUGAGACACGGUCCAGACUCCUACGGGAGGCAGCAGUGGGGGAUAUUGCACAAUGGACGAAAGUCUGAUGCAGCAACGCCGCGUGGAGGAUGACACAUUUCGGUGCGUAAACUCCUUUUAUACAGGAAGAUAAUGACGGUACUAUAUGAAUAAGCACCGGCUAACUCCGUGCCAGCCGCCGCCGUAA
This 485-nucleotide ribosomal RNA is filed under the name uncultured bacterium. Its description in RNAcentral is "partial 16S ribosomal RNA". It matches the Rfam family "Bacterial small subunit ribosomal RNA", at positions 29 to 523 of the family's 1533-position model. The record is from RNAcentral.